GAUGAACGCUGGCGGCGUGCCUAAUACAUGCAAGUCGAGCGAACGGACGAGAAGCUUGCUUCUCUGAUGUUAGCGGCGGACGGGUGAGUAACACGUGGAUAACCUACCUAUAAGACUGGGAUAACUUCGGGAAACCGGAGCUAAUACCGGAUGAUAUUUUGAACCGCAUGGUUCAAAAGUGAAAGACGGUCUUGCUGUCACUUAUAGAUGGAUCCGCGCUGCAUUAGCUAGUUGGUAAGGUAACGGCUUACCAAGGCAACGAUGCAUAGCCGACCUGAGAGGGGGGUCGGCCACACUGGAACGGAGCCGCGGUCCAGACUCCUAAGGGAGGCAGCAGUAGGGAAUGUUCCGCAAUGGGCGAAAGCCUGACGGAGCAGCGCCGCGUGAGUGAUGAAGGUCUUCGGAUCGUAAAACUCUGUUAUUAGGGAAGAACAUAUGUGUAAGUAACUGUGCACAUCUUGACGGUACCUAAUCAGAAAGCCACGGCUAACUACGUG
RNAcentral lists this ribosomal RNA (497 nucleotides) under uncultured bacterium. RNAcentral describes it as "partial 16S ribosomal RNA". It matches the Rfam family "Bacterial small subunit ribosomal RNA", at positions 28 to 507 of the family's 1533-position model. The record is from RNAcentral.